AUGGCAGAAUUAAUAUGGAUUCAAACCUUGCUGAAUGAGGUUCAUGUAAAUCACUCUCCUGCUGCCCGUUUGUUGUGUGACAAUAUUGGUGUCACUUAUCUUUCAGCAAAUCUAGUGUUCCAUGCAAGAACAAAGCACAUUGAGGUGGAUUAUCAUUUUGUGCAUGAAAGGCUAGCUAAGAAGCUACUUGAUAUUCGGUUCAUUCCCACAAAUGACCAAGUUGCAGACGGGUUCACUAAAGCCCUAUCUUGGCAAAAAUUAGAAGAAUUCAAGAACAAUCUCAACUUGGUGAAGUUAUGA
RNAcentral lists this ribosomal RNA (300 nucleotides) under Triticum aestivum (bread wheat). RNAcentral describes it as "partial small subunit ribosomal RNA". The record is from RNAcentral. Lineage: Eukaryota; Viridiplantae; Streptophyta; Magnoliopsida; Poales; Poaceae.